GAACUGCGAUAAGUAAUGUGAAUUGCAGAAUUCAGUGAAUCAUCGAGUCUUUGAACGCACAUUGCGCCCCCUGGCAUUCCGGGGGGCAUGCCUGUCCGAGCGUCAUUGCUGCCCUUCAAGCCCGGCUUGUGUGUUGGGUCGUCGUCCCCUCCGGGGGACGGGCCCGAAAGGCAGCGGCGGCACCGCGUCCGGUCCUCGAGCGUAUGGGGCUUUGUCACCCGCUCGAUAAGGACCGGCCGGACGCCAGCCGGCGUCUCCAACCUUUUUUUCUCAGGUUGACCUCGGAUCAGGUAGGGAUACCCGCUGAACUUAAGC
RNAcentral lists this unclassified non-coding RNA (315 nucleotides) under plant metagenome. Its description in RNAcentral is "partial contains 5.8S ribosomal RNA, internal transcribed spacer 2, and large subunit ribosomal RNA". The stretch from base 1 to 105 matches the Rfam family "5.8S ribosomal RNA", at positions 50 to 154 of the family's 154-position model. The record is from RNAcentral.